This 76-nucleotide transfer RNA is filed under the name human gut metagenome. RNAcentral's name for it is "tRNA-Lys". It matches the Rfam family "tRNA". Rfam says of the family: Transfer RNA (tRNA) molecules are approximately 80 nucleotides in length. Their secondary structure includes four short double-helical elements and three loops (D, anti-codon, and T loops). The record is from RNAcentral.
GAAUCCGUAGCUCAGCAGGUAGAGCACAACACUUUUAAUGUUGGGGUCCUGGGUUCGAGCCCCAGCGGGUUCACAA